CCAAAUCGGACUCUUAUUGACCUCCAUUACUAAACAAAACGACUUGCUUGGUGGGUGAAACAACGACAAAAACGCCACCUGCUGGAAGGAGACACGUUUUUCCUCCGAGAUGGACCUUCCUCUUCCUGUUCGUCUCUUCCUGUUCCUCUCUCUUCCUCUUCCUGUCUCUUCCUCUUCCUGUCUCUGAUCACACUUCGCGCCACUGAGGAUUUUUAAGGAGCUGCGUUGUCAACUUGUAUCAUCACAAUCAAUCAGAAAAGUCAUUUUGUUGUGUUGAUUAUGGACAUCAGACGGUUCUUUGUAUCAAGCAAACCCGCAGCGCAGAAACCGUCUCAGGAUGGAAACCUCAACACAGAGUCCCCGAAGAAGAAAUCCGUCUCAACAGACGAAGAAGUGAAGAAAAAGCAAACUGCUACCAAGGUGGUGAAGAAGAAGAAGAAGGACAGUGAUAAAAAGACAAAGAAGCGUGCUGUCAUUGAGUCAGACUCUGAGGAGGAGGUAGUGGAGCAGAAGGUCCGGAAACAGCACCCUCCUCUUCCUCCUGCCAAGAAAGACCCGGUGCAGUAUGUCUCUGAGACAGAUUCAGACAGUGAUAACUUCCUGUCUCUGAAGAAGUCUGCAAAGCCCCAGGAUAAUGGAGUGACCAAACCAGGGAAGGCCCGCACCGGGACCAAAGAGAUCUACAGGUCCCCCUCGAAACCCACCCCUGCGCCCGCCAAGGGGAAAGGAGUGAUAAAGAAGUCUCCUCCAGCCCCCGUCACCCCUAAAUCAGCGCCCCAGCACACCAAACGCACCCCCACCUCUGUCCUGGACUACUUUGGCAGUGGGAGUGUCCAGCGCUCGGGCAAGAAACUGGUAGCAAGUACCAAGAGGAAAGCUGACCAUGAUGAGUCGCUGACUGAUGAGGUCAUCGCCCAGCAGCUGCAGAUGGACGAGGACAUGGAGUUGGAGAGGCUGGUCCACGAGGACGAGGAGUUUGCCAGGACGCUGGCCAUGUUGGACCAAGAACCACACGAUCUGGGGUCUGACACGUCAGCCAACAAAAGCAUCGCUAACUCCUCCCACAGCAGCACUACCAGCCAAUCACAGUCCAAUGGGCGGGACCACAACCAGGACGUGAUCGGUCCGUCCCCUAAAAAGGUCCCCCCUCUUGUUAAAACCAGUUCCAAACUGGCCGUGAUGAAGAGAAGGGAGGUGGAAGAGGAAGGAGGAGGGAAGACAAAUCUGACUAUCAAAAUGCCCGUCUCUCCCAAAAAGGAGUUCCUAACCACUUCAAGCACAGACAGGAAGUCCAAGCCCAAAACAGGAAGUGUAACCAUGGUGACCACACGCACGACUCUUAAAACCUCCCCCAAGAAAGAGAGCACCAGUCCAGAGGAUUCAGAGAAGAAGCGAGGGAACUCCUCAGCCUUCCGUAGUUUCCUGAACAGAGACGGACCCAGAGCCCUGGGGUCUAAACCCAUACCCACUGGAGCAGAGAACUGCCUGGAGGGGUGUGUGUUUGUGAUAUCUGGUGUGUUGGAGAGUAUGGAACGUGAGGAUGCUAAGUCCCUGAUCGAGCGCUACGGAGGGAAGGUGACCGGCAACGUCAGCAAGAGGACGACAUACCUGGUGAUGGGCAGAGACGGAGGAGCGGCCAAGACUGACAAGGCGGAGGGGUUUGGAACUAAGAUCCUGGAUGAGGAUGGUCUGUUAGAGCUCAUCAGAUGUUCACCAGGGAAGAAAUCCAAGUACCUGAUUGCUGCCGAGGCCGAGAACAAGGGAUUUAAGAGCAGAACCCCAGACACCGAGGCCUUGUCUCGCACUCCCAAACAGUCCCCAAAACCCAGCCCCUCCAAACCUGGCUCGGCGUCGGGGCGAGGAGUCAGGGUGGGGGACAGCGUGACCCCCCCAGCGAGAGGUACAGGUUCAGGGGUCAAAAGAGGGCUGGACUUGGGGGGUAAGAGCCAAUCAUCUUCCUCCUCUGCCACUCCGUCUUUGCCCUCAUUCGCUGGUGAAGAUUUCAGUCUGCUGUGGGUGGAUAAGUACCGCCCCCAGAAUCUGAAGGCUGUGAUUGGUCAGCAGGGAGACCAGAGCCAAGCCAAUAAGUUGCUUCGCUGGCUGAAGAACUGGCACACCCACCAUGCAGUGGGAGGGGCUAAACCAGCAGGCAGAGGGUUUGGUAAGUUCAGCAGUACUAAGGAUAACGGCUCCAGCUUCAAGGCAGCGCUGCUGUCUGGUCCUCCAGGGGUGGGCAAGACCACCACAGCUGCUCUGGUCUGUCAGGAGCUGGGUUAUAGUUAUGUAGAGAUGAAUGCCAGCUGUACCCGCAGUAAGAACAGUCUGAAUCUGAUCGCUGAGUCUCUGAACAACAGCAGCAUCAACAACUACUACACAGGUUCGUCUCAGACAGUCAGCAGUAAGCAUGUUCUCAUCAUGGAUGAGAUUGAUGGCAUGGCAGGAAACGAAGACCGCGGAGGAAUACAGGAGAUGAUAAGUCUGAUUAAACAGUCCAGGAUCCCCAUCAUCUGUAUGUGUAAUGAUCGUAACCACCAGAAGAUCCGGUCUCUGGCCAACUACUGCUUUGACCUGCGCUUCCAGAGACCACGACUGGAACAGAUCAAGGGUGCCAUGAUGUCCAUUGCUUUCAAAGAGGGUCUGAAAGUCCCGCCUCCUGCCCUCAACGAGAUGAUCCUGGCGUCCAAUCAGGACAUCCGACAGGUCCUCCACAACCUGAGCAUGUGGUCGGCUAAGGACAAGGUCAUGACCUACGACCGGGUCAAAGAGGACGCCAACAACGCACGCAAGGACAUGAAGCUGGGUCCGUUUGACGUGUGUCGGAAGGUGUUCUCCAAGGGGGAGGAGUCGGGUCACAUGACGCUGAUUGACAAGUCGGACCUACCUGCUGCUGCUGGUGGUGAUCUGAAGUCCCACCUGGUCCUCCUCAGUAAGACAGCUGAUUGUAUCUGUGAUGGAGACCUGGUGGACAGACAGAUACGGUCCAAACAGGCCUGGUCUCUACUGCCCACACAGGCGAUCUAUUCCAGUGUGUUACCAGGAGAGUUGAUGCGUGGCUAUAUGAACUCUUUCCCCUCGUUUCCCUCCUGGCUGGGAAAGUUCUCCUCCUGCAAUAAACACUCUCGGAUCAUUCAGGAGCUGGCCUCUCACAUGAGCCUCAAGACAUUAAGUAGCAGACAGGCAGUGAGCCUGGACUACCUCCCUUACCUCCGCAUGUCCCUGCUGUGUCCUCUUCAGAGGCAUGACUACCACCUGGUCAGAGAGGAUGUGGACAGCCUCAUGGAGAUCAGCCUCUGGGGGGGCCAGCCUGACCCUUACGCUCAACUAGACCCCAAGGUGAAGUCAGCGUUCACGAGGGCCUAUAACCGGGAGACCCACCUGACACCCUACUCCCUCCAACCAAUCAAGAAGGGCCGUCGUGGCGGGGGAGUGGAGGCAGAACUGGGAGGAGAGGAGCAAGCGGAACAGCCUGAGGAAGAGGAGGAGGAGGAAGGUGUUGCAGCUGACGCCAUGAUCAAAAUUAUGUUAGGACACCAACCUAAACAAGAAAAACCACGCAGCCAUUUUACAAGCAAGGGAGAGGCGUCACAAAAAAACCAGAAAUACAGCUAA
Molecule: long non-coding RNA, 3609 nt
Filed under: Salmo salar (Atlantic salmon)
Lineage: Eukaryota; Metazoa; Chordata; Actinopteri; Salmoniformes; Salmonidae
Description: lncRNA (ENSSSAG00000122283.1)
Source: RNAcentral